Salvia miltiorrhiza (redroot sage) is the source of this 920-nucleotide long non-coding RNA. RefSeq lists it as uncharacterized. The record is from RefSeq and is a predicted model, not a curated record. Lineage: Eukaryota; Viridiplantae; Streptophyta; Magnoliopsida; Lamiales; Lamiaceae. The transcript has 2 exons.
UAGUGAAUGCUACAAUUAGUUAAAUAAACUUACUUGGUUUAUGAUGCAGUCUUUGAUGAUGCUUUUUGUAAUUGACUGUAUAGGCUUGGUCUCCAUUGUGCCUCGAACUCUAUUUUUAGAGUUCCUUUGUGCAGGUACCACUUCGGUAAAGGGGAAAAUCCCUAUCUUACCAUCAAAAAUCAUCUCCCCUGUUUCAUUAAAUUGUGGUCUGGUGACAGCAGACAAAAACAUGAUCUUUUGAAUGAAUCUCUUCGAUUUACAUGUCCUAUACAGAUCUUCUUCGUUAGGCAGCAAGUAAUACCUCUCUGAUACGUUUGACAUGUAAAACCAUUUCUCGUCGAUGUGAACUACAUUAUGCAUACCUUUAAAUGUGAAUUUCCCAUCAAUGUUGGCUGCAGAAUUCAGUUGACUUAAACUAAAUUUAAGUCUUGCUAGUUUGUUGUCUUCUGUAAGUACUGGCUUCACGGCACUUGUGUGAGGCCUUAGCUAUUUAUCUUUAAUCCAUUCACCAAUGAGAGAUUUGGAAAUGCCUAAUUUACUUGCCAUCUUCCUUAUUGUACCUCUCUCUUUGACAGUUGCCCAUAUUUCUCGUACUGACCUCAAUGAAAUUCCAAACAAUGCAGCUGCCUCUUUUGGUGCCCCUCUUUGAAGAACUCCAUCUUUGGAGUGUUGUAGCAGCCAUUGAAGAAACCUUUCAUUUUCUUCUUUUGAAAAAUCUGGUCUCCAGCGAUUAGGCAUUUUGUAGACUGAACUUUGUGUAAUGAAUUUGUAAAGUGAUUAUCCUUAUAUUCUGAAGUGUUGGGCAAUUCGAAUUUGGUGGGAAUUAAAUUUCCCACCAAAUAUUUUACGCAGAUUGGCUGUAAACAAUUCUUAAUUGCCGCCUUUCUUUUGGGUUAAUGGAGUGAAAAGUUUUUUAAUUU